GUGUUUGAUUCGGCAGUAUGUAUACUAAUGUUGGAAUGAUACAGAGAAGAUUAGCAUGGCCCCUGCACAAGAAUAACAAAAGAGAUUUAUUCUCUCAGAUU
This is a small nuclear RNA of Vulpes vulpes (red fox), 101 nucleotides long. Lineage: Eukaryota; Metazoa; Chordata; Mammalia; Carnivora; Canidae. The record is from Ensembl.